UCUAACGUGGACCCGUAAUCCGGGUUGCGGACAGUGUCUGGUGGGUAGUUUGACUGGGGCGGUCUCCUCCUAAAGAGUAACGGAGGAGCACGAAGGUUGGCUAAUCCUGGUCGGACAUCAGGAGGUUAGUGCAAUGGCAUAAGCCAGCUUGACUGCGAGCGUGACGGCGCGAGCAGGUGCGAAAGCAGGUCAUAGUGAUCCGGUGGUUCUGAAUGGAAGGGCCAUCGCUCAACGGAUAAAAGGUACUCCGGGGAUAACAGGCUGAUACCGCCCAAGAGUUCAUAUCGACGGCGGUGUUUGGCACCUCGAUGUCGGCUCAUCACAUCCUGGGGCUGAAGUAGGUCCCAAGGGUAUGGCUGUUCGCCAUUUAAAGUGGUACGCGAGCUGGGUUUAGAACGUCGUGAGACAGUUCGGUCCCUAUCUGCCGUGGGCGCUGGAGAACUGAGGGGGGCUGCUCCUAGUACGAGAGGACCGGAGUGGACGCAUCACUGGUGUUCGGGUUGUCAUGCCAAUGGCACUGCCCGGUAGCUAAAUGCGGAAGAGAUAAGUGCUGAAAGCAUCUAAGCACGAAACUUGCCCCGAGAUGAGUUCUCCCUGAGACUUAGAGUCUCCUGAAGGAACGUUGAAGACGACGACGUUGAUAGGCCGGGUGUGUAAGCGCAGCGAUGCGUUGAGCUAACCGGUACUAAUGAACCGUGAGGCUUAACCUUACAACGCCGAA
This 721-nucleotide ribosomal RNA is filed under the name Salmonella enterica subsp. enterica serovar Paratyphi B var. L(+) tartrate +. RNAcentral describes it as "partial 23S ribosomal RNA". It matches the Rfam family "Bacterial large subunit ribosomal RNA", at positions 2221 to 2925 of the family's 2925-position model. Lineage: Bacteria; Pseudomonadati; Pseudomonadota; Gammaproteobacteria; Enterobacterales; Enterobacteriaceae. The record is from RNAcentral.